GUCCAGACUCCUACGGGAGGCAGCAGUGGGGAAUAUUGCACAAUGGGGGAAACCCUGAUGCAGCGACGCCGCGUGAGUGAAGAAGUAUUUCGGUAUGUAAAGCUCUAUCAGCAGGGAAGAAAAUGACGGUACCUGACUAAGAAGCCCCGGCUAACUACGUGCCAGCAGCCGCGGUAAUACGUAGGGGGCAAGCGUUAUCCGGAUUUACUGGGUGUAAAGGGAGCGUAGACGGCAUGGCAAGUCAGAUGUGAAAGCCCGGGGCUCAACCCCGGGACUGCAUUUGAAACUGUCAGGCUGGAGUGCAGGAGAGGUAAGUGGAAUUCCUAGUGUAGCGGUGAAAUGCGUAGAUAUUAGGAGGAACACCAGUGGCGAAGGCGGCUUACUGGACUGUAACUGACGUUGAGGCUCGAAAGCGUGGGGAGCAAACAGGAUUAGAUACCCGAGUAC
This 447-nucleotide ribosomal RNA is filed under the name uncultured bacterium. Its description in RNAcentral is "bacterial SSU rRNA". It matches the Rfam family "Bacterial small subunit ribosomal RNA", at positions 329 to 793 of the family's 1533-position model. The record is from RNAcentral.